Molecule: ribosomal RNA, 1286 nt
Filed under: metagenome
Description: bacterial SSU rRNA
Rfam family: Bacterial small subunit ribosomal RNA
Source: RNAcentral
AGCUAGUUGGUGGGGUAAAAGCUCACCAAGGCGACGAUCUGUAGCGGGUCUGAGAGGAUGAUCCGCCACACUGGAACUGAGACACGGUCCAGACUCCUACGGGAGGCAGCAGUGGGGAAUUUUGGACAAUGGGGGCAACCCUGAUCCAGCCAUGCCGCGUGAGUGAAGAGGGCCUUCGGGUUGUAAAGCUCUUUCAGCCGGGAAGAAAACGCAUUGGUUAAUACCUGAUGUGGAUGACGGUACCGGAAUAAGAAGCACCGGCUAACUACGUGCCAGCAGCCGCGGUAAUACGUAGGGUGCGAGCGUUAAUCGGAAUUACUGGGCGUAAAGCGUGCGCAGGCGGUUUUGUAAGAUAGGCGUGAAAUCCCCGGGCUUAACCUGGGAACUGCGUUUAUGACUGCAAAGCUAGAGUACGGCAGAGGGGGGUGGAAUUCCACGUGUAGCAGUGAAAUGCGUAGAGAUGUGGAGGAACACCAAUGGCGAAGGCAGCCCCCUGGGUCGAUACUGACGCUCAUGCACGAAAGCGUGGGUAGCAAACAGGAUUAGAUACCCUGGUAGUCCACGCCCUAAACGAUGUCAACUAGGUGUUGGGAGGGUAAAACCUUUUAGUACCGGAGCUAACGCGUGAAGUUGACCGCCUGGGGAGUACGGCCGCAAGGUUAAAACUCAAAGGAAUUGACGGGGACCCGCACAAGCGGUGGAUGAUGUGGAUUAAUUCGAUGCAACGCGAAAAACCUUACCUACCCUUGACAUGUCAGGAACUUGCCAGAGAUGGCUUGGUGCUCGAAAGAGAACCUGAACACAGGUGCUGCAUGGCUGUCGUCAGCUCGUGUCGUGAGAUGUUGGGUUAAGUCCCGCAACGAGCGCAACCCUUGUCGUUAAUUGCCAUCAUUUAGUUGGGCACUUUAACGAGACUGCCGGUGACAAACCGGAGGAAGGUGGGGAUGACGUCAAGUCCUCAUGGCCCUUAUGGGUAGGGCUUCACACGUCAUACAAUGGUUGGUACAAAGGGUCGCCAACCCGCGAGGGGGAGCCAAUCCCAGAAAGCCGAUCGUAGUCCGGAUUGCAGGCUGCAACUCGCCUGCAUGAAGUCGGAAUCGCUAGUAAUCGUGGAUCAGCAUGUCACGGUGAAUACGUUCCCGGGUCUUGUACACACCGCCCGUCACACCAUGGGAGCGGGUUCCGCCAGAAGUAGGUAGCCUAACCGCAAGGAGGGCGCUUACCACGGCGGGGUUCGUGACUGGGGUGAAGUCGUAACAAGGUAGCCGUAGGGGAACCUGCGGCUG